RNAcentral lists this long non-coding RNA (605 nucleotides) under Pongo abelii (Sumatran orangutan). RNAcentral's name for it is "lincRNA". Lineage: Eukaryota; Metazoa; Chordata; Mammalia; Primates; Hominidae. The record is from RNAcentral.
UUUUGACUUACUUUCCAGAUUAAAAGAUAAGCCGGCACAGUGGCUCACACCCGUAUAAUCCCAGCACUUUGGGAGGCUAAGGCGGGCAGAUCACGAGGUCAGGAGAUCAAGACCAUCCUGGCUAACACAGUGAAACCCCGUCUCUACUAAAAACACAAAAACAAAAUUAGCCAGGCGUGGUGGCGGGCACCUGUAGUCCCAGCUACUCGGGAGGCUGAGGCAGAAGAAUGACGUGAACCUGGGAGGCAGAGCUUGCACUGAGCCGAGAUUGCGCCACUGCACUCCAGCCUGGGAAACAUAGCCAGACUCAGUCUCAAAAAAAAAAAAAAAAAAAAAAAAAAGUAUUAACUUCUGCUUAAUCUACUUAAAAACCUAGGCUGAAACUGAAGUUUACAGACUUAAAGGAUUCCUAACUGAAUACAGAAUGAUCUCCCAAGAACACGCAUACAGGAAUGUUUCCAAAUUCUAUUAAACAGUAUUGAGAUCUGCAAUAACGCGGUAUUUUUGUAUCUAAGGAAAUAUUACCCCUUAACAUACUUAAAAACUCAGCUCCUUUUCUCACCAAUGUUACCAUACUUGACAAUACUGAUCCUCACCUUCACCCC